This 254-nucleotide unclassified non-coding RNA is filed under the name plant metagenome. RNAcentral describes it as "partial contains small subunit ribosomal RNA, internal transcribed spacer 1, and 5.8S ribosomal RNA". The stretch from base 206 to 254 matches the Rfam family "5.8S ribosomal RNA", at positions 1 to 49 of the family's 154-position model. The record is from RNAcentral.
UUUCCGUAGGUGAACCUGCGGAAGGAUCAUUAAAGUUAUAGUCCCCCGGCCCUCUGGGCUGGGGUCUUCUAUACCACCCUUUGUUUAUUACACCUUUGUUGCUUUGGCAGGCCUGCCCUCGGGCUGCUGGCUCCGGCCGGCUCGCGUCAGCCAGAGGACCUAAACUCUGUUUGUAUAUGAAGUCUGAGUACUAUAUAAUAGUUAAAACUUUCAACAACGGAUCUCUUGGUUCUGGCAUCGAUGAAGACCGCAGC